GACGAACGCUAGCGGCGUGCCUAAUACAUGCAAGUAGAACGCUGAAGGAGGAGCUUGCUUCUCUGGAUGAGUUGCGAACGGGUGAGUAACGCGUAGGUAACCUGCCUGGUAGCGGGGGAUAACUAUUGGAAACGAUAGCUAAUACCGCAUAAGAGUAGAUGUUGCAUGACAUUUGCUUAAAAGGUGCAAUUGCAUCACUACCAGAUGGACCUGCGUUGUAUUAGCUAGUUGGUGGGGUAACGGCUUACCAAGGUGACGAUACAUAGCCGACCUGAGAGGGUGAUCGGCCACACUGGGACUGAGACACGGCCCAGACUCCUACGGGAGGCAGCAGUAGGGAAUCUUCGGCAAUGGACGGAAGUCUGACCGAGCAACGCCGCGUGAGUGAAGAAGGUUUUCGGAUCGUAAAGCUCUGUUGUAAGAGAAGAACGAGUGUGAGAGUGGAAAGUUCACACUGUGACGGUAUCUUACCAGAAAGGGACGGCUAACUACGUG
This 495-nucleotide ribosomal RNA is filed under the name uncultured bacterium. RNAcentral's name for it is "partial 16S ribosomal RNA". It matches the Rfam family "Bacterial small subunit ribosomal RNA", at positions 28 to 507 of the family's 1533-position model. The record is from RNAcentral.